AGAGUUUGAUCCUGGCUCAUGACGAACGCUGGCGGCGUGCUUAACACAUGCAAGUCGAACGGAAAGGCCCUUCGGGGUACUCGAGUGGCGAACGGGUGAGUAACACGUGGGUGAUCUGCCCUGCACUUUGGGAUAAGCCUGGGAAACUGGGUCUAAUACCGAAUAUGACCAUGCACUUCCUGGUGUGUGGUGGAAAGCUUUUGCGGUGUGGGAUGGGCCCGCGGCCUAUCAGCUUGUUGGUGGGGUAAUGGCCUACCAAGGCGACGACGGGUAGCCGGCCUGAGAGGGUGACCGGCCACACUGGGACUGAGAUACGGCCCAGACUCCUACGGGAGGCAGCAGUGGGGAAUAUUGCACAAUGGGCGCAAGCCUGAUGCAGCGACGCCGCGUGAGGGAUGACGGCCUUCGGGUUGUAAACCUCUUUCAGCACAGACGAAGCGCAAGUGACGGUAUGUGCAGAAGAAGGACCGGCCAACUACGUGCCAGCAGCCGCGGUAAUACGUAGGGUCCGAGCGUUGUCCGGAAUUACUGGGCGUAAAGAGCUCGUAGGUGGUUUGUCGCGUUGUUCGUGAAAACACACAGCUUAACUGUGGGCGUGCGGGCGAUACGGGCAGACUUGAGUACUGCAGGGGAGACUGGAAUUCCUGGUGUAGCGGUGGAAUGCGCAGAUAUCAGGAGGAACACCGGUGGCGAAGGCGGGUCUCUGGGCAGUAACUGACGCUGAGGAGCGAAAGCGUGGGGAGCGAACAGGAUUAGAUACCCUGGUAGUCCAA
This 773-nucleotide ribosomal RNA is filed under the name uncultured bacterium. Its description in RNAcentral is "bacterial SSU rRNA". It matches the Rfam family "Bacterial small subunit ribosomal RNA", at positions 8 to 798 of the family's 1533-position model. The record is from RNAcentral.